Molecule: ribosomal RNA, 253 nt
Filed under: uncultured bacterium
Lineage: Bacteria
Description: partial 16S ribosomal RNA
Rfam family: Bacterial small subunit ribosomal RNA
Source: RNAcentral
UACGUAGGUGGCAAGCGUUGUCCGGAAUUACUGGGCGUAAAGCGUGCGUAGGUGGUGAGUUAAGUCUGUCGUGAAAGCCCCGGGCUCAACCUGGGAAUGGCGAUGGAUACUGGCUCGCUAGAGUGCGGUAGAGGAGAGUGGAAUUCCCGGUGUAGCAGUGAAAUGCGUAGAGAUCGGGAGGAACAUCAGUUGCGAAGGCGGCUCUCUGGACCAGCACUGACACUGAGGCACGAAAGCGUGGGGAGCAAACAGG